This 878-nucleotide long non-coding RNA is filed under the name Mus pahari (shrew mouse). RNAcentral's name for it is "predicted gene, 37768 (MGP_PahariEiJ_G0003702.1)". Lineage: Eukaryota; Metazoa; Chordata; Mammalia; Rodentia; Muridae. The record is from RNAcentral.
CCAUGGGGUUCUGGGAUGAACUCAGCUGGGCAAACAUGCACACAAGAGCCUUUCCCUUGGGAACCACAUACUUUGUGAGUUUGUAAAUGAUCUCACCCGGGAGGCCACUGUCAAAUGCAAGCGGACUCAAAUUACUGAAUAUACUCCUCUGCAGACUAUGAGUGUAACAUGCACACUGAACAGAAAUGACUUUCAUGCUCACGCUCGGAUCCCAGGACAUCUUGAGUCUAUACAAACACUCCAGUACAUGAAAAAGCCUAAAACCAGGAACACUUGCAGUAUCAAACACUUUGGGUACUAGUUAUUUAUUUUUAUUUUUUGGUUUUUCGAGACAGGGCUUCAAUAGUCCAAGCUGGCCUUAUACCUGCAUCGGCCUCUCCCCUAAAAUUUAAUAAAACUAUCAACUUGCAAAAACACACUGGUCUAGCCAGGUGGCAGUGGUGCAUGCCUUCAGUCUAAGCACUCAUAAGGCAGAGAUAGGAGGAUCUCCAUAAAUUCUAGGCCAGCCUGGUCCAUAUAGUGAGAUCCACAACGGCCAGAACCACACAAAGAAACAUUGUCUUACGAAACAAACAAACAAACAAACAAACAAAAACAUUGAUCUAAGGGUUAUGAUAAUGAAGUGAGAGGUCAAAUUCUCACUUAAAAUUUUGUCCUGGUCUGGGUACAGUGCUGCACCUACAAUCCCAGCACUUAGGAGGCUGAGGCAGCAGUGUCUUGAGCCUGAAGCUGGAGUGAUCCACACAGCAAAGCAGGGAAAGAGACAGUACAAAGAAAGACAUCUGCGGGCUCCACCGGCACAGGCCGGUAACUCCAGAUACUUGGAAGGUGGAUGCAGGAAGAUUGCAAGUUCAAGAACAGGCUGAGAUAUGAAAUGC